This 335-nucleotide ribosomal RNA is filed under the name uncultured Rhodobacter sp. RNAcentral describes it as "bacterial SSU rRNA". It matches the Rfam family "Bacterial small subunit ribosomal RNA", at positions 412 to 764 of the family's 1533-position model. Lineage: Bacteria; Pseudomonadati; Pseudomonadota; Alphaproteobacteria; Rhodobacterales. The record is from RNAcentral.
AGGCCUUAGGGUUGUAAAGCUCUUUCAGCUGGGAAGAUAAUGACGGUACCAGCAGAAGAAGCCCCGGCUAACUCCGUGCCAGCAGCCGCGGUAAUACGGAGGGGGCUAGCGUUGUUCGGAAUUACUGGGCGUAAAGCGCACGUAGGCGGACCAGAAAGUCAGAGGUGAAAUCCCAGGGCUYAACCUUGGAACUGCCUUUGAAACUCCUGGUCUUGAGGUCGAGAGAGGUGAGAGGAAUUCCGAGUGUAGAGGUGAAAUUCGUAGAUAUUCGGAGGAACACCAGUGGCGAAGGCGGCUCACUGGCUCGAUACUGACGCUGAGGUGCGAAAGCGUGC